RNAcentral lists this long non-coding RNA (15882 nucleotides) under Musa acuminata (dwarf banana). Its description in RNAcentral is "long non-coding RNA (MACU_LNC007429)". The record is from RNAcentral. Lineage: Eukaryota; Viridiplantae; Streptophyta; Magnoliopsida; Zingiberales; Musaceae.
ACCAACAGGACUUCCGCUCAUACUACUUUGAUUUAUACCUGGGCCAGCAAUACCUCAAUUCUUGACUACUCUCUUAGGAAACCAGUUGUUUGUCUCGUCUUCUCAUUCUUUAGUUAAUGAUCGAUCCGUUUUACUUACUUCAAAGCUAAGCUGGCUUUCCUUUAUUUACUCCGAUACUAGUACCGAUUAGACUUUCGCUAUUGAUCUCAAAGCUUGCUCCACUGGCUAUGUGCCUCCCCUUCCCUUCCCAAACUCUGACUCCUAUGACCUUCAAUACCUGUGUUAGAGCAUCAGCCUGUAGCAACUGCCUAAAAGUCUGGAAGUUAGUCCCUUCCUACUAGCUCCCUAGGCGCUCUGACUUGAACUCCCUUCUUGCUGUACAUGCUUUCAAUCUUAUAUUCCUUUCUCUUGGCCUGUGACUCAUACCUUGUUCUCCGCCUAUGAAGCCUUACCUCAGCUAUUUAUCUACUGAAUCGGAUCCAGCUUAACACUAUCCUUCUGUGCUUCCAUUCCCGGGCUUCCACCUGUCACCUGUCAUUCUUUAUUCACUCAUUAGGGCUUAGACCUAGGCCUGUCCUGUUAUUCCUAUACUAUAUAAAUAAGUAAAAGAGUGAACCUACCUCUCGCCCACCUACGCACCCCUCCCUAUGAAAAGUAGGAAAUACACCUAUACGCCUAUGCCCCACCAACGAAUGAAACAAAGAAGUCAGACACUCCCCACCCACUAACUCGGGCUAACACACCGCUAACCGACUUGAACUAGUGGGCAAGCAACGUACAAUCAACGUACAACUAAGUAAGAGCCAAAACAAGUAACAACUAGUCAAGCACGGAACGAGACCAACCCUACUCUACUAUAUUGCAUUGCGUGUAUCAAGGGUAGAGGUUUGAUAUUCUAAAUCAGAAUGAAAUCAAUUACUUUAGAGUUAAUCCUAUGUGUUUAGCCUGGAAAUGCAUCUAGAAAUGUAUAAGUAGAAGAUCGAAGCGGAAACAUCAGAAGUUCACUCAGAAGUAAGGAUACCUCUGUCUAAGUAGACCAAUAAUAAUAUAGCGUACACAUAAUCAGAAUUGAGGCUUAACUACUUAACUUAGGGCCGAUGUAAUUGAGCCAACACCAAUGAGACUAUAGCCCAGAACUUGUACUUCCCUUACUGCCAUAUAAAGCGGCCCUGCUCCACGCAAGAUAAGGCUAACUGCCCUCACCUUAAAACUGCAUUUCAUCUUCGAUUCUUAUAAUGUAAACAAAACUCUGGUCUAUCAGACUCACUACCUAUUCACUAAGUCUCCCUUUUCUAUAUCUCCUUCUGUUACGGGACCCACCUAGUGCAUCUAACAAUAGAUUAUAGCUCUACCCUUACUUGCUAGAGAACUCAGCUUACUACUAAAGGAAUGACUUCUAUUUAUAAGAGAACAACUUGAAAGUCAUAUUGACUUGACCACCAACAAGACUGACUUUACUAGCGGGUAAAUCCACUGCUGCUAACAGGGCUUUUGUUAACUGCUAUCAGAGUACUACGACUACCAAUACUGGAACUGGAACCGGGAAUCCAACACCCCAGUCUAAUACCUGGAACAAUAAAGAAAGAAAUCCAUUAGUGCUUCUCAGAACGUAGCUACUGCCUAUGAAAGAAAGCCUACUGCCACUAAAGAGCUUGAAGUCCUUGGCCACCUUCUAUGGUUCUUCAACUAACUAAAAACCAAGAAAAGAACAAAGAAAUUGUACUCGGGGAGAUGUAUAGAGACUACUCCAGCCGGUAUAUAGGGCAAUACUCACUACCAAGAGCAAACAAAGCUUUAAAGCAGUAAUAGCUUGCAAGGUAGACAGGAGCUGCAUCGCAGUACACGAGUACAUACACAUUAACGCUCACGGGGGUGUAGAACAAAUGUGCUCCAACCAUCUUGCAGAGGGGGAAGUCGCUCAUACCGAGGGAGAUAGCCUAUCACUCUUAGAAUUCGCCUACGUACCUCUAAUAAGCACCAAACGGAUGAAACUCAACCUAACCUAGCGCUUCUAAGCCAACAACAAGAACAGGAACAGCCAAGGAAAAGAGGUACGCAAGGGAGACAAUUCCAUAUAUGAAGAGCCAGAUCUUGUAACUUCAAUUGACUUAAGGGCUUGACUUGCAACUUCAAUAAGAACAGGAACAGGGGAUUCCACUCCUAAUGAAAGGGAUUCAACUACUCUACUACUAGUUGGUGCUGUCAACCAGUUCAGUCUCUUCUUAUAAUGUAUUCGUUGCUUGGCCUUUUCAACUGAUACUGUCGAUAAACAGACUCGCGAACUACUGCUACCAAGUCUCCCCUCUCCCGCUUCCAAUCUAAUAUUAAUGCUCAUAGGUCUGAUUCCGCUGCUAACAAGACUUCUGCCCGUGUCAACAAAACAAUGCUUGAACUUAUAACCCUUACUGUGUAUCUAAGCCCGUAGCUAAUACCUUUUUUCACUAUGCCUUUCCUGCCUUACAUGCUUUAACUAAUGGUCUAAUUCCCGUAGUUCACCUCUCUUAGCUUAGCCCACCACUCCUAGCUAUCAAACUGAAACUAAGGCCUUACACUCAUUCUUUUAGUGCUUCUUUUCAUUCUGAUUCAGUUAACUUAUAAUAAUGCAAAUAUUAAUUAAUAAUGAGUAAUCUUGCGCCGCUUACUUGUCUAGUGUCUUGGUCCGAACACAUCAGUCACUGACCUAAAGCCUGACUCACCGGGUAGGCAACCUAGAACACCGCUCCGCCUUAGUGUCUUGCUUAUUAGUUUCAAACUAAAGCUGGUACUUCUUAUACUGUAGCUAUUGAUCUAACCAAUACCGGUAAGAAGCACACUCAUAACUAGUAAAUCACUACUACCCAGAUAGCCUUAACUCAAAGACGGCAAUCCAACAACUAUUGAUGAGACUGUAGCUACUGACUACUAGAUAACACUACUAAUAUAUGGAAUGCACGACUACCCACUAGAUCAAACACUGCACUAUGGAAUUUGGAGCUGCUGCUGAUGAGACUUGAACCAAUGCUAAUCAGAACGAAAACACCUGUAAGAAUAGCUAGCCUUCUAAGACAACCUAGUAAGCCCUACCUCCUUUCAGCAAGUAAGGGCAAGCUCAUAAGGCAAUAGAGCAAGGAUAGGGAUCAUAACUACAGAAACAGAACCCAAUUAAUAGUUAUAAGACGAAACAUAGGCUGAAACUCCAAGUAGAGAAUAAAGGUAGUGUAAAAGACAACUACAAUAAAUAACUCCACAUAAUGUACUUAGUACGAGUUUCUUACUUCGGAUGUGGUUAUGGCGGCAGGUAGCGAGUUGGGUCUCGUGCUCCUGUCUUUUGUUCCUUAACGCUGACUGUGGAUCCUCUAUUGAACCUGUUAGUCUGCCUUUGCUUGUGAAAAGUCUUUAGCUACUUACUUGAUUUCUUGUAAUACUGCCUAUGAUCCUUACUAUACUUUGACUUUGAUUCUCUACUUUAUCUUGGGCCCGGCACCCUUGCUUGCUAGUUAAAGAAGCCAACUACUCAUUCGAAUAUGAUAACUCGAACCAGGGGGUAAUAACAACCAAUACUUAGGGGAAUCAUAACAACCAGCACCCAAGGGAAUCCAACUAUGGGCAAACUGACUUGAGCUACUACUUCUAAGAAGAGAUCUGCCCUACCUAGCUAUCAUUCUGACUAUACCUUUGAUCAGCCUACCCUUCCUGACUCUUAUUCUUUACCUAGUGAUCCGGAUCCUUACUCAUUUGGUUUAGAACCCAACUACUACUAAUAAGGGUUGAGCACAGAACAUAGACUUAUAUAAUGUCUAGCGAAUCUUCCUAUUACUGAUAAAAUACCCGAACUUGGUUAAGCAGACUGCCGCUACACAUUACCUGUUAUGUUGAUGCUUAGGUUUAAGUCCUUCACUGCUUAGUUUCAUCUUUGUUACCUCGCCUUUCCGUCUGCGACUACUUGAUCUAAGGCUAACUCCGCCUCUCCUAGCUAUAAAACGGAAAUGACUUAUUUACAUUCCCGCUUGCCCACUACUUUCUUGGGUUCUGUAUUACCUAUUAUUUCACUGCUGACUUAAAAGCUGUCCUUACUCGCUAUAGGUCUCACUGUCCUUGCUUCGAUUCUAUGUAUUCUUCCUGACAUCUCUGCCUGUUAGUUAAAGAAUAUCCACCCUACUAAUACUGAUUUCAAUCAUCGCCAACAAGCCUUUGACUACCACUCACACGAUCCCCGCUUACAUGCCUCUACUCCCUUAGGCUUUCAGCACCCGAACCCACUUCUUUACUUAUAGCUUAAAAGCCUCUCCUCUGUCAACAACUACUGAUGAAACGGGUUCCCUUGCCCACCUCUGUUGGAUUAUACCUUGCAUACCUAGACUCUAAAGUCACUUAGGAUAUCCCUUUGAGCCCUCUCCUCUUUCUCGCCUACCCAUCUAUAUCUGACAUGGCAAAUGAUUCUAUUUCCACUUUACAACUGGACCAGACCACUUACUAAUGCUAAGGUAGGGGCAUACAUACUAUACUAUAUUACUUAUUACAGGCAAGGAAGCACUAACGGUAUGAAGACUCUCAUUGCAGCUGACUUUGGCAAGCCUCGGAUCCUUCUCUUGCAACACCUGAUAGAGAGUCGACAACCUCAACUCACACUGCUGAAGAAUUCUUAGUUGACUCGGCAACUUACAAUAAAUACUCUGUGCUCUCACUUUUAUAAGCAUUACUCAUCCUAUAGCCAAGCAGUAUAUCCUGGGAAGACCUUUGCUUAUGGAGCACUUAUCGUUUUGGCCUUUCUUUGCCUUUGUAGUAGUGACUGCAUUGAUUCUUCAAAUUCUAUAAAUGAUUUCUUAUAUAUUAUAUAAUAGAACAAUAGAACUGAUGAAACUGCUAAUGAGUCUGACCUAGAACUGAUGAAACAGCUAAUGAGGAAUUAACAGUAAAGCCUAACUGCUUCCCUUUCUGACCCAACUAAGACAGAUUCCACUGGCAAGGAAGCACUAAAUAGCCCCGGGGUGAAGACGAAACUAGGGAUGAAACCUACUCCUAGUAAGCGCUAACCUAGGAACUCCGCCUAUAUUCCUUCCCCCCUCUCUCCUUCCAACAAGCCCAGCAGCUGUCAACUAUUGACUGACUGAAUGAGGCCGGCUCCUCUACCGUAGUUAACAAAUACAGAAAUGGACUAGCGGCCCUUUAGCCAUGAAUACAGGACUCAUAGGGGCACCGAACUAUAAAGACAGAAAUCAACCCUGCUUAAUUGACUCAUUGCCCGGACUGCCGCCCGAACAAAGCACUUGGUGUUAACUCUAUUAUUAACUGACUGUUUCUUGUCUGCUUGGCCGGUAUUCCACUGGCAUUAAAGAAUGAAACUUGCUGAUGGCUCCUAUAGCUCGUUAAAGAAUCUAUCUCCUAUAGCUCGUUAAAGAAUCUAUCUCCUAUAGCUCGCUAACUUUCAUUCUCACUUGCGGAAUUCUUAUCCUAUAACUCCGCCCCUAACUCUAAUAAGUGUUCACCCCGACCCGAACGAAACUUUCCACUUACUUUACCUCGAACAGCAUCUUUUCUCUCUCCUAUAGCUCUGGCAACAGGCAAUACUUCUGACUUUGUUAACUACUGACGAGUUUCAUUCUUACUUGAUAACUGGAACUGGGGCAGACCUGCUUGCGCCAUCGGAUCUAGCUUCUAUUCCACCUCUUACCUAUGUCCUUUAGUAGUAGUAGCACUGGUAGCAAUGCCAAUAUUACCCUGCAAACUGGGAAUUCCGCAUCUGUAUUCUGAUACGACUUCUUCAACACCAAAGCUAUCCUUUCUUCACCGACUACACUAGCACCUAACCUAUCUUAUACUGGGCCAAGCAGCCAAGCAACGGCUACUGAUGCUGAUUCUAUUUCUUCCCUUGAUUCUUCUGUCACUCCUAUUGAGAUUUUCCCUUGAUUCUUCUGUCACUCCUAUGCUCUCGAUCGCGUAUAUAGUCCCUUGUUCUUAUUCUUUCUAUGGCAUCUUAUCUUCUCUUUGGAACCCCUGAUUUCAGUAUGAUUGAGGAUCCCCUUCAUUCUCGUAUGUGAUGAAUCCAUAGAUGAUCAAAGGAAAUCCGAUUUCGGCAUGAACCCGCUUACAACUCAUUAUUGAUUGAACCCGCUUACAACUCAUUCGUGAUUGAACCCGCUUACAACUCAUUAUUGAUUUCCCCUGUUAGUCUGCCUCUAACUCUACUUGGUUUCAACCUUGUUGAUUCUUUUCUGACUCUUUCCUAUGCUAUGGUUAAGGCGUUGGUGCACAUUCCACGGUUCUUACUAUUAAUAGGCGUAUUUCUCUUCCAGGGUUUCGAGGUUCGAUCUCACAUUACAUUACACUCACAUUACAUUACAGGUUAUCGAGUAGUUGCUAAGUUCACUUGUCUCUGCUUGUCUGUUCUUUUGAGUUUCUCUUGUUUGAUUACAAUACCCUAGCCCUACCAGAACAAGUAAGUAAACGAAUUCUUCUUUCUGACCUCUACUCCCAGGAUUGGAUACCUUGCGAAGGAUACCCUGGCUAAGAAAUGCACUGAGAAAAGUAUAAGUACGAUCCCCUAAGGCAUCAGAUAAGGUACGAAUGAAACUACUCAUUCAACAUAUUUGUAUAGGACCUACAAACGGAAAGUAAGCCUGCCAUUCCUCACUCUAAAGCUACCGACCUCAGAUCCGUGCCUAUCCGCGCCUUUCUCUCAGCUUUCUUACUGCCCUGGCUUUCAUGUCUCCGUUCCUGCUACUACUGCUUGCAACUCCUAUGUGCGAGUCUUCUUCUCCUUUCUUUCAAGUAGUAAAUACAGAGUGCAACUCAACAGUACAAUAAUGACUCAUAAGUAGGGAAUUUUACCCUAAAGCAAGAAUCCAUCAAGUAAGUCACAGAGCGAAACCCAAUAGUCAAAGAAUAAUGGAACAUAGGAAUGCCGGGCAGGAAAGUCAGCCUCACUGUUUCCAUUAAGACUAGAAGGAAGGAUCGGCAGGUUCACUCUCGAACUGUAGAAUACACGACAUGGUUCUCAUACUUUAAGAGGGAGGCGGCCGGUAUUCUCUUGCUGAUUCUCUUUGUGGGCGUUAUUUAAGUCUUAGAGGUGAUAGUUUUGUUUCCCCUACUAAUGAGUUGAUUUCUCCGACUCAAGAGUGUAUUUCCCCUGCUUGAGCUUAGGUCUUAUACCAAUGGGGAAACUCUGAUGCUUGCUACUCAAACUAUUAGUAUAUAACUAGAUGCGCUAGCUGUACAGUACAGACUUAGGCUUUAUACUUCCGGUAUAUAUAGUUCACUUGUGAGCCUGUGCCCCUCGUAAUUCUUCUUCUCUUCUUGCUAUACCUUAUUUAGCCUGCCUUUCAUUCCUAUACUAUUAAAUAUUCAUCUGAUUCCUAUGCUAAUAAGGAUCACACUACUGCGGAUGAGGCUACUACUACUUAAUUUCAUUCAUACUUAUCAGAAGGAACACCUGGGCCCUAGACCAUACCACCUUGCUAGAUUAGAUCAUAGUCACCUACCCUAUUCUCAGUAUCCAAACUUCAGAGUCACAUUCUUAUGUUCCGUACUCCAUUCUGUAAUUCUGAUUUCUCAUAGAAAAACCAUAUCCUUCAUCUACAUUUAUAGGAUUAACUACGGAUUAACUACAAUAACACAUAGGAUUAACUACCAAUUAUGGAAUUCUUAUUUGCCAUAGAAAAACUAUAUCCUUUAUUGCCUAACACCAAGCUAUGGAUUGCCGCCUGCCACGCAUUUUCCUUCGUAGGAGCAGCAUUUUCUCCAGUCAUUUCACUAAUAGGUGUGAGCAACGGAGAAUUACAAUAAGGGGGGCGGGUUUGCUUCUUUAGUUUGAGCUUCAAACUUCGACUCCAGAUCUAACAUCUAGCUUGUCACUUUCAUUCUCUGUGUUGUUCCCUUCCAUUCUUAGACUUAUUUCUGCAAUGCCUAGUUAUGAGUUAAAGCAUUAGUUCUGAGCUAAGGCCUCGUGCACCUCUCGGAAGCCUUAAGCAGGAGGUUGACUCUACAGAAUUUCCCUCAGUAGUUUAAGAAUGGGACUCAUCGGUGAGCUAGUAGGAGCCUAAGAAUCAAACCGGGGAAUGAAAGAAUGAAGCAGUGUUGUUACGAGAAGAAACAGUGUUGUCUCAAGGAACCGAACCGUAGCAAGCAGGAAGGAAAGUGUAGUGAAGGGAAUGGGGAAUCCAAAUAAAGGGAGACAAUUCCAUGUGAGUUGCAACGAGACCCUUAUUUUGGAAAGGGUGCGCGAGCAGAGCAAGCAAGUGCAAUUCCGGGUCGGUCUUUCAUCAAGUGGAAAGUCUGGAUCAAGAUCUUAAGCGGGAAGAAACUGACCUUAAAGUGGAGUGGAAUCUGUUUGUCUUAGAGAAUGUCCUGUAUUGCCUUCACUUGCUAUCCUUGCUCAAACUAAACGGAUUGCCUUUACUUCUUAUGGGUCGGUGAUUGGCUUUCCCUUGUAAUUGAGUUCAAGUCAAGAAGUGUAUAGAAAAAGACAAUAAGAGUCAAAGAUAGAUUCACUUCAUACAGUUUCUAGUAAAGGGAAGGGAAAGAAUUCAGUAAAGGAUUGGAAGCCCUAAGUCAAUCAGUAAGUGAAUCCCUGACCUCCAGUAAGUUAAUCCGUUGCCCUCAAUCCUGACCUCACAGGUCAUAUUCUUUCUUUCUUACUAUCACAGCUUCAACCAAGAAGGGGGCACUCAAAGUUCUUCCAGAAGCCGGGGGGCAUGUCAGAGGAUGAUUUGCAGGAGCGCACGCUGCUUAGGCAUUGGGUACUUCCGCUUGUGUCGUGUUACUAUACUGUACUGGCUUCGGAUUAUGUUACUAUUGAAGAAGCCCUUUCAGGCCCCGUAGUAGCAACAGAUUGGCGUGCCCAUAAGGACGUAAACUCAGUUCUCCAAAAGUAUGGUUGACUUUUUCAGAUUGACGAUCGGAUCGCCUCCCUUGGUUUGGACUAUACAGCUCCUUUAUGAGUUCCUCACAACUCGGGUCAUAAUUGGGGCGGACUCCUUCUCGGAUGCAAUGCAGUGGUCUUCUCUUUCUAUGGGUUUUCUGCAGUGGAACCUGUCAAGUUAAGUAUUUGAAUUCACAGUGGGACGUUAUCAAUCCAAAGUGGACUUUGGGGUCAAAGCCAAGAGGUGGUGCCCCGUCCGUAGCCUUACGUUCUCUCUCCUUCUUUCUCUCCUGUCUGGUUUUCCGGUAGGGGCGAAUAGCAUUCCCAGAAGUGGACAUUCUCUGUCUUUUCCAUUCUAUCUCUCCCCCAGCCCAGCGACGCAUUUCCCUUACUCCGUUAAUUCAAUAUCUGUCUUUCGCCUGCGAAUCCUUAUCUCUAUCCCUUUGUUGAUGAAUAAAGGAGCACGUGGUGAAUACUGAGAACAUGAAUUCCCUUACGCUGUUGCGAAGCAAUUGGAAUUCUGGAUCAUCGAAGAAUGGAAAAAUGCGCCUAUCUCUAGGAAGACCGUUCAUCAACUCAUUUCUCGGUCUGGUCAUCAAAAGUAGAAUUUGCACUUUGUUGUCACCAGCCGAAUCUCUGAGAAGGAUCACCUGCUCCUGUUCAGCUGCACCUCCCACUAUGAGAAGUCAGAACUUAUAUGCUGUGUCCUCGUAAUUAAUAUGUUAGUUUGCUCGCGGUAAUUGUGGCCUAUCGGGAGAAUCGAUGACGACUUGAAAAACUCCCUUUCCGUUUGUCUAUGUACGCGACCUUUCUUAUAAUAAGAAAGAGACACAAGAAGAGGCAGAGAGAGAGCUCAGAAAAAAGUCAAGGAGAGGUCUUCGGACAUUCAGUCCAAAUCUAGGAAAAGGAGUCAUGUAAUAUGCAAUCAGAGUGCUUACUGCAUUUUCUCCAUGUCUUCGAGCUCUCGGUUUAGUAUGAUUUUCAUCCAAGCAAGCCGCUUUUCUUUGCUUUUCCCGUAAAUUGGAGUCGAGAAAGAAGCUCUAUCCUUACUCAUAAGAUCAGAUUCAAGUUAGAAAGAAGGCCAUCCAUUCAUUUUCAUGGACAAGGCUGGAAAGGAAGUUCCAUUUCUUCUAGUCUUUGUUUAGAAUUGACUUUCUUUUGAGUAGUUGCAACGUGGGAUUGCAGAUAUUGCCAUUGUCUCAGAAGUCGCAUCGCAAUAGUAUAGAAAAGCGCCUAUAGUUCCUAGUGUCACUUCGAAUAUCGACUACUUUACUGAUUCCAUUUCGAAACUCUGAGAAAUAGAUCCUUACCGAUUGCCCCAUUCUCACGUGUUGCUGUUUCUUUGGUUGCCUUCCAUCCCGUAUUGUUUGAAAGGAGUGCUCAAGUUUGUAAGUUAGCUCUACGGACAAGAGCUAGUCACAACAUAAUGAUAGGUGUAAGAUAUUAUUGCUAUUUGAGACAGGCGCUAAAUCGACAGAGUCCCGUUGCUUGGCGUCUGCUUGUUCUAUCCAUUUCUGAAGUUGAUCGAAAGUUGUUGAAAGGUUAUAGUUAUAAGGAAGUCCCUCCCAUCUCUUUUGUCUUAUUACUUUAGAUUAUGAUAUUGAUAGUGUCCUAUAGUGUUUUUAGUGGAAAUAUGCUACCUGAUAAUUACUAUAGUUGUCAAGAAAGAAAGUAUGCUUUAAAGGUGCGCAGCAGCAAACAUUAGAAGGUAUAGAUUUUCUGGUAAUAAGAGUAAUAGAUAGAUGAUUCAAUUCAACUAGCAGGGGAACCAUCAAGCGCAGCGGGAACGGGAAGGAGAGUUUGCCUUUCAAUCUGCAACUACUAUACAAGUUUCUAUUAGUUGUCCAUUCAAUGAUUCUCUUCUUUUUGUUUGUGCCGGUACACUUUCUUAGCGCGCAUUUCUUGAGUAAGGGCACCCAUAUUCUAAGAUGACUUUCAAUCCACAUUAGAUAAGAGAACUUUUCAAUCCAUUAGUUUCAUAAGUAGAAGCUGUGAGGUUCGGUAUAGCCAGCAGUAAUAGGUAUGUAUAGGAUGGGACAUCAUUCAUUAUCUACGUUUUGCACUCAAUUCUUUUCAACAAGCAAGGGAAAGGGCUAUCGUGGACCACAAGCUUUAGCGACCGGACCACUUUAAGGCACCUACAAACAAUAUAGGGCAAGCAAUACUUCACUUUCCGGCUUGAAGCACAGAGAGGCUGGCUUAUUUUGCUCUUCAUCAUUAUAUAGUUAAGAGUAUACUAACAUUUGUUUCCUAAGCUCGGGUCGGGGUGCUAACAUGAGUUUGCUAAGUUCAUAAGUGCUGUUGUUAGUGUGCGAAAGCCUAAUGUGUAAUUGGUUUAGUGGUAUGGCAUAAGAAUCCAAAAUCCAUGAUGAAAGCUAGAGCGCAAAGGUCAAGUUCACAAAAGGAAUAGCUGCUCUCUCCGCUGGGCUGGGCGCUAAGGAAGACCAUCAUCUCGAUUCCGUUCAGGCUGUCAACAACUGUAAACUACUCCCUUCCCAUCAACCACUUUCCUGGAAUUCCCUAUACACUAGCACCCGACCCUACAUCCACUGUUUAUUUGAUUGAUUGAUUUCCCACCGACUUGAGCCUCUGUUCCCGCUUUUUCCGUUUAUGACCUUAGAGUUCCAUUCUGAUUCGAGUCCAGUGCAUCGGCUCCCUACUUAUAAUCUGGAUUCGACUGAGUGAGAGUCCUUUCCGAGAGACGGAACCUCUGCACGAGAUGAGGCUUCUGUAUAUAUGAAAAACUCAAACAACACUUUCUGCUCUAACAGCUUACCUUGAAAGCGAAGGAACAAGUUAACUCGCAACGGCUGCAAAGACGAACAAGCAAAGAGAGGGUAAGACUAUGGAAAUCCUUCUAUGAAGGAAGGCAUUCUGAACGUCUACGUGGAAUAGUCUAGUUGAUGGACAGGACAUCGUGUAUUUAUAGGCUCUAACAAAACGAAUGGUUGCAUGGUGGGAGGUUUCGCAAUGCCUCGCAUCCGUCACUACUUUGAAAUCGCUUUAUCGUUCUAUUGAUUGAGCAUUGGAGGAAAAGGGGAGAAAUCUCUGUAAUAAGAUUCUGUCAAGGACUUAUAAGCAUGAAUCGCACAGAGGUACUCUCAAAGAUCAAUCACUAUACGAUAGAAUUACGAAAAAAGAGGAAAUCAACAUGGAAUUUUGGUCGAAACCCUUGUUUGUACAAGGCUCAUCACAGGAGAUCUAGUACAUCGAGCUACAAACCAUAUAGUAAAAGCGCUCAGACGAGAAAAAACUCAUAGAAUAAUGGAAAACAAUCAGGAGUUCCAGAGGUCGGAACGGCGGCUCAGGUGAGAUGAGACAAAGUCAACUCGGCAUGCAAGCAAACCGAACGUGUCUCGUAUCCAUCAGCCAAACGGGUUACCUGUAAGCGUAGAGUUAUUACCCAGUCCUCAUUCAGUAGCGGUGCGAGUAUAAGUAGUUGGAGGUGAUUCAAAUACAAGUACGCGCGGGAAGGAACUGAAGGUCGACGAGAGAAGAUGUAUCAGCCGUCUCACAGGAUUAGACUCCGUUUCAAUAGAAUCCGCAGUUAUAGUGGGGACCGGGACAGAAUCAUUUCCCUCCUAUGCGCUAAGUACUGAAACGGAAUAAUUAGACAGGUAAAGAUGGAUUAGGGUAACUCACCCACAUAGUGCUCAAGUGUCAUAAUUCCAUAAUGGAGUUUCUGUUCCCUACUAGCAAUUCUAAAAAGAACAACUAUGGGAAUGAUUCAAACGCGGUUAUUCUACGCAAAUCUAAGAUAAUAGACCAAGUUAGAUGGGAAUCGCCUCUACAAAGCUUGUUUUAUUUAUAGAGACUUAGUAAACAAGGAAAGGAUGCGUUGAGGCCCGCGCCCUUGAUACGUAGCUGAUCUUUAGCUAGUUUCUAAUCUUUUGACCCAGCAGUGGUAAACUAAUAUCGGAAGUAUCCUCGGGACGGAUCAAGGUUCUACUUUCAUUGCUUCAAGAAAAACGAAACCAGAUGGGGAACCUUUUAGGACACAUGCGAACAAUCAAACUACGACCGCCACAAAGUCUUCGUAUGCUAUUCCAUUCCUCACCCAACCCAAACGUCCUCAGUAGGGAUCACCAUCCAUGCGCUCUUUGGUGCUACCUUAGAUACAACUGUAUACUCCCAUUGAGCAUUCGAACAGAUGGCAUCUAUGCUAUCAGCCAACAACUAGGAUUCCUGAUUGUCGCCCGCUCCGAGCAAACUAGGGGACAACACGUCCUCGAGACAUAGCCUUACCAGAUGGGCGAGACAUAGCCUUACCAGAUGGGAAGGAAGAAGGGAGCCGCACUAGUACUUUCGGGGCUUACUAAGGGCUUCUUUCUUUCCAGGCGUAACAACAUUUUCAUUGGGGGUCGCACCAUACGCUUUUGACUAAGACCUUUUAUGGAUAAGGACAAGAGGCUCGUUACCAAGCUCGAUGCUUUUAAUAGGAACCACGAGGCCUCAUAUGCUGCCAGAGGUAAGUUAAGGCUCUUCCUUUUUCCCUUUCUCUUUAAAGAAAAAAGAAUCCGAUCCGAUUUGCAAGGAAGUGACACAAGCUCCUUAUUGCCAGUCUUAUGUAUAGGAAAUCAUGGGCCAAGCAGACAAGAUGAAUAAGUGCUGUGCCCUUAAUUAAUGCCAUGGGUUUGAAAGCCCUAAGUGGUACCAGUGGAAUCAGUAUUAGUUUACCUUAUAUUAAGUAACACUAGCGGCAGUAACGAAUAACAGUGUCGUACGAGUGGAAAGGCUUUCAGCACCUUCUCGUAAUUGGCUAGUCUAGUCAAGGGAAACUUACACUCAUGAAGGAGCAGCUAGAAGGAUCAGAGUAUUACUUAUAAGCUUGAGAAGGAUAAGAGUAUGAUGAGGAAGGUGGAAACCAGAGGAUAAGAAUGCAGGUAUCAAACUUCAGACUUAUAUAUCUGCGGAGCUAUAAGACAAGCCGAAAAGAGGAUUGAGCUAUUCAGGUAGAAAACGUAAGAAGAGGAUUGAGCUCUGUUUAUAGAUAUUGGUCGCUAACCCUUAAUACCAGAAGCAUAUUUGGAACUGGUCUAAGCGCAAGGAAUCAUCUCUUCUUCAGCUAACGUACGAGUCUGUCCUUUAUUUCUGUUUCGCCCUUGUAACUGAGUCCGUUGAGUUUCUAUCUUCUGCUAAUGGAGUUAAGUCAUGUGAGUUACUGUCUUCAACAUUUGGUGUUAGCCAGCGCCAAAGUGCCUUAGUGCAUUAGUCAAUGUCAAGAGCAAGUCAACAAGUAUUAUGGAAAAUGACACACUGAAUACUUCCUUUAGGCAAGAAUCAAGUACUUUAGUCUAUGGUUCGUUCGGUUAGGAAGCAACGCUGUGUUGUUUACCCUUGUGCAAGAGAGAUUCCAUGAAUUCUGCUUCUGGGUUUCCUUCAGACUCAACAGUACCAACAAGACUAUGUUUAGUAAGGGAUGGGAAGGGAGUUGGGAGAUGUAGACAGUUCCUGUUCCGUUUCUAGGUCUAUUCCUCAAUUAUAUAACACAUCAGUAAGAAAUGAAUGUUUGACUUCCGCUAAGUAUACAGUACAAACAAUCAAAAGUGGUAGAGUGAGCUUACUUCGGGCUGCCCCUAUUCGUUCUUAAACAAACAAGUCUGGAGUGAGUUUAGUUUCGGGGGGAACAAGCUUAGACUAAAUAAGCGCAGGAGUGAGAGGUGCGAAAGAGAAAGCUAAGCCUUACAUUCAACAAGCAUUAAGGUGUUUGUUAAUAAAUUCAUUAUGGAAUAGGGGUCAAUGAUACACAGAAAAAGAAGCAAGCAGUAGAAAGAAAGUCAGCAAACUUUUCUUCAAGCAAUAAUUCACUGGUACUGGUUUUGGCAAAUUCGCUAAUGCUAGUUAUGGCGCUAACUGAGCUCACCCUUAAGAUACUCGUACUCAGAGCACUUCAGAGGAUAAGGCAAUUAUGAAAGUCAGGCAAUCAGGCUUCAUUCGCUGUCGCCAACAAAGCAUUAAAAGCAUUCCUAAAAAGGAAACAGGUCGUAUUUAUGAGCCAGAGCAGAGGUAUUAAUUCAGCAAGUAAGAAGGAAAGGAGAAAACGUUCCAUUAUUGACUGCCCGACGAGUGGUAAUUGCCUGUUUCUCUGCAGAGUAGCGGUAACUCAACUCCCUUAGCUUACUUGUCUUCUACUAUAUGCGCUAGCAAUUAUGUAUUAUGGCCCUCAGGUUUCUUAGUCAUUAAAGGAAUGCGCUACAUCUAUCUCUUAUCCCUUGCCCACCUAUCCCUUUUGUUAUCUUACAGCGACCUAUCUCUUCGAUCACCUACUUCUUUCUUUAUUCAUAUAUAUUAUGUUCUGUUCUUGCCUCCAUCUCAUCUAACUCAGGCUACAAUUCAUUUCACCCUGCUGGCUCUGCUGGGCUUGUGGAAUUCCCGAAUUGACUAGCUAACCUGCCGUUCCUAUAGCUCGCUACCUCUUUCACUCGCUAUGUCUUUACUUCAGUAUAUACCAUUACUUCAGUCUAUACCUUAUGCUCAAUAAUAAAGUAUUGACUCGGUGUAAGAAAGAUUCCUGUUUGACUCGGCGUCCGGAAAGAAAGCUGUUAGAGCUGUUUCUGUUGAAAGAGAAGAAUGACUAGUUCCCCUUCGACUUGAAUCCGUGGUUGCAACGAUAGAAUCGGCCGUUCAAAAGUCAGUAGCAAUUGGUUCUUCAAGAAGUAUUGUUCCAGCUCGAAUAGAAGAUUUGUAUAUAGUUGCUCGUCGGGCAGGAAAUGGAACUGAUUGUCCGUCCCGCUGAUGCUCUUGAAACUAAAUCACCCUUACCUUUAGCCGACCUCAACACUGAUUUAAUUGCAGAUGAAACUCCAACUGGAAAUCCAUCUACUUCAGUACAAAGAGCUACCUGGGUUGGGUGCUAGUGGUUUAGUAUAUGGAAACCGUUUUCCUUUCCUUGGCUUAUGUGAGGAAUAUAUUACAGGCGUGUGAAGCUAAGGGAAUCAAAUGUAAGUAAUCUAACUAGGGGGAGGCUUUUAAGAAAGAAGUAAUUCACAACGUAUGAAGAAGCAGUGCGAAAGUCAGCAGCAAACGUAUAUGUACUAGAGUCUAAU